GAGGGAGUUCCGGCGGUGGUUUCC
This 24-nucleotide non-coding RNA is filed under the name Arabidopsis thaliana (thale cress). Lineage: Eukaryota; Viridiplantae; Streptophyta; Magnoliopsida; Brassicales; Brassicaceae. The record is from RNAcentral.